CGGGCUGUAGCGCAGCUUGGUUUAGCGCACAUGUCUGGGGGACAUGCGGUCGGCCGUUCAAAUCGGCUCAGCCCGA
RNAcentral lists this transfer RNA (76 nucleotides) under Spirochaetes bacterium ADurb.Bin133. RNAcentral's name for it is "tRNA-Pro". RNAcentral also lists the same sequence under 1 other name. Lineage: Bacteria; Pseudomonadati; Spirochaetota. The record is from RNAcentral.